AUGGCCAUGGUUGGUGUGACCAGCAUCAGCAAUGCCAGGGCGGCAUGGACCAAGGUAUGGUCCACACAGGUUUGGAUUGCCAACGAAAGAUGUGGCAUUGAAGUAGCUGAACUGGCCGGUCCCUGGGACGAGCCCGGACAAGUUGUUGUAAGAGAAGUCGACCGCCGUCAAGCUCUGCAUUGUGGAGAUGGAUGGAGGUAUCUCUCCAUCAAGGUGGUUCUUGGACAAGUUGAGGUAGUUCAGUAUCCUCAUUCCAGAGAUGGCCGGAGGUAUCCUCCCAGAGAGGUUGUUCCGGCUCAAGUCCAAGUAAGUGAGCAGCCGGCAUUUCCCAAUCUCCGGCGGCACACCUCCCUCGAUCGCAUUGCCGCUAAGGUCAGCCUUGGAGAGCUCCUGCAGCCGCCCAACCUCGGCAGGCAACGCGCCGGAGAACGAGUUGCGAUCAAGCAGCAGCUUCUGAACACCAGAGAAGUUUCCAAUGGAUGCCGGCAAUGCACCGGUGAGCUGAUUGUUGGACAGGUUGAUCUCCCCCAGAUUAGGCGCCGCAGCGCCGACCACAGCAGGGAAGUCGCCGGUGAGGAGGUUGUCUUGCAGCUCGACCUGAGUGAGCUUCUGCAACUCGAAGAGCCCCUUGGGAAUGGAGCCGUUCAAGUAGUUCUCUCCCAGACGAAUACGGCUCAAGGACUUGCACUGGCCGAGGGAGUCAGGGAUGGAGCCGAACAAGGAGUUGCCGAGGGCGAUGAGCGUGUGCAGCUUGCCCCCGGCGCAGAGGUCCGGCGGCAGCGUGCCGGUGAGCCUGUUGGAGGAGAGGUCGACCAGCUGGAGGCGCUUGUUGGCGCCGAGGCGGCGGGGCACGCUGCCGGUGAAGUUGUUCUCCCAGAGCUGCAGCACCUCGAGGCUUGGCAGGUCGCCGACGAAGUCGGGGAUGUCGCCGCGCAGCUUGUUCCGGAACAGGUUGAGCAGCGUCAUGUUCUUGAGCUGGGAGAAGCUGGGCGGUAUCUCGCCGGCGAGCGCAUUGUUGGACAGGUCCAAGGAGCUGAGGCUCUGCAGGUUGCCCAGCUCCGACGGUAUGGCGCCGGUGAGGCCGUUCACCUGCAGGAACAGGGUGUCGAGUUUCUGCAGCCUGCCGAGCUCGGGCGGGAUCUUCCCGGAGAGGCCGCAGUUGGCGGCGUCGAGGCGCACGAGGUCGGUGAGGUUGCCGAGCUCCGGCGGGACCCCACCGGAGUAGGCGUUGUAGUAGCCAAUGUAGAGCUCCCUGAGGCUGGUAAGGUUCCCGAGCUCCGGCGGUAUCCUCCCGGACAGCUCGUUGCCGGAGAGCGCGAGGUACUGCAGCCGCGUCCACCGGCCGUACUCGGGGGGAAUCUCGCCGGAGAAGAAGUUGCCGCCGAGGUGCAGGUGGCGGAGCAUGGGCAUCUGCGCGACCUCGAGCGGGAGCGGGCUGGUGAGGUUGUUGUUGUAGAGGUCGAGCACGCGGAGGCCGCGGAGGCGCGCGAGGGCCGGCGGGAGGGAGCCGUUGAAGGCGUUGUUGGAGAGGUUGAGGUGGGUGAGGAAGCGGAGGUGGCCGAGCGCGGCCGGGACGGGGCCCGAGAGCGCGUUGGCGCCGACGUCGAGGCGGAGGAGGCCGCGCAGGCUGGACAGCGCCGGCGGGAGCGCGCCGGAGAGGUUGAGCCCGCCGAGGGCCAGCCCCACGACGGCCCCGCGCGCGCCGCACGCCACGCCCGCCCACGCGCAGUGCGCGUACCCGCCGCCGCCGCCCGUCCCGUUGCUCGCCGCCCAGGACGCGAGCGCGCCCGUGGGGUCCGACAGCGCCGCCUUGGCCGCCAGCAGCGCGUCCGCGUCGCCGUCCGCCGCGCCGCCGGCGGAGAGGCGGACGAGGAGGGCGAGGAGGAGGAGGAGCGGGGGGAGGCGGCGGAGAUGCAUUGGGGUUUCGGUUUGCUUCGCUCUCUCGGGGACGGGGGAGGAGGGGGCUCACGCUCCCGGCGAGGCCCGGAGAGUGGAGACAAAGACAGGGGGGAGUGUGAGACGGGAGGGUGGCUUUGGACACGAGGGUGCAGGGGGCUCGCCUAA
Molecule: ribosomal RNA, 2064 nt
Filed under: Triticum aestivum (bread wheat)
Lineage: Eukaryota; Viridiplantae; Streptophyta; Magnoliopsida; Poales; Poaceae
Description: partial small subunit ribosomal RNA
Source: RNAcentral